UCUUCAUUUCUCGUGCUCUCUCGCCGGUCAGAGAGGCGAGAGAGUGUGCGAAAUGAAGAGG
Non-coding RNA from Pristionchus pacificus, 61 nucleotides. Lineage: Eukaryota; Metazoa; Nematoda; Chromadorea; Rhabditida; Neodiplogasteridae. The record is from Rfam.